Molecule: long non-coding RNA, 1505 nt
Filed under: Gossypium barbadense (sea-island cotton)
Lineage: Eukaryota; Viridiplantae; Streptophyta; Magnoliopsida; Malvales; Malvaceae
Description: long non-coding RNA (GBAR_LNC023387)
Source: RNAcentral
GUCAUUUUAAAGUCUUUACUCUAUUUUCAUUACACGACAAUAAACAAAGAGGGGCAGCUGUAAUAGGCCCAAUUUGUCCGGGCUUAUAAUAAAUCAGAAAACCAAAAAAAUAUAUAUAUGUAAAUUAAAGUGCUUAUGGGGUCAAUGUCCAUUUACAAAAUUCUGGGCCUAAAUUUACAAAUUACCUAUGGCCCAACAAUUACACCCAAAAUCCUAACCUAAUAAACCCACAUCCCCAACCCGGUUUACAAAUAGCCCAAACCCGAGGCCCAACAAGACCCAAAAAGAAGCUCAGCAACCGAAUAGUGCCAGAAGCUUCUGGAAUACAGUGGAAUGACAUUAGAGAGUGGGCUUCUUACCCCUGCGUGCAGCCUCAUGUCAUCGGGUCAUCUUCUCCGUACAACCGAGCCUGCAAAAGAAUACACCAGAAGGAGCCAAUAAUAGAAUUCACAGCAAAUGACAGUAGGAAAAUAGGAUUUUAAAAUUUUUUAUUUAUUUUGUAAAUCUGGCUAUAAAAAUCCAUGGAUGUAAUCCUUUAAUUUUUACGCACACUUUACGCAUACACAUACACUAUACACAUACUGAAUAUAAAAAAUUUCGAAAAGAAUUUCUAAGAAAGGUGAUCUUCUUUAGUCUUUUUAAUUUUUUCUGUUAUUUUUAUCUAUUUUUCCUGCGAUUAUUUUCAUCAUUCUGCAUUUUAAAACAAAGAGGAAGGAAAGUCAGGUCUUACCUUGCGAAUCGGCCAUUGACCUCUGUUCACUUUGUUGAGAUCGAAGUUGGAAGGGGGAUCCAAAGGUGUUAUCCAUCAAUCUUUGAAACGAAACCAAUGAAAUCCCGAAUAUCUCUGAAAUAUUGAGAUACAGGCGAGGGUCGAUGGUAUUAAAUGUGUUUGUUUUCAACUUUGUCUUCAUUUUUCUUGAACGAAUGAUAUUGGAUCUAAAGUUUUUUUUUUAAAAAAAAAAGAAAACAAAAUGUUUUACCAGAUUUCCUCGAGUAGAGCCUUCGACGACGAGAUCUGGUCGCUGCUCGUGCGUUAUCGGCCACCAAAUGAAAUGGUGGUUCGAUGGCUGCUGGAAUGAGCCCUAACAAAUUGAUUUUAGGGCUGUGUAUCUUGGUUAGAAUAAUGGCUGUGUUUGAAGAAGAAAAUAGGGGAAGAAAGGUUUUAAAUAACCAAUUAAUAAAACGGUGCCGUUUAAGGAAGGGAGGUCCGCGCGUAAACCAGCUUGGAGACCCAGAUUUGCACCUUUGCGCCUAAAAUGGAUUAUUUGUGCAGCAGGUCCUUUCCCUUUGCGCCGCGUUAUGAUCAGCUCCCAUUUGUGUCUGAUUUAUUUUGUUUUCUUUAAAAUUUUCCCGAAAUUUGAGCACUUUUGCAUUUUAGCCCGCAUCUCAACACAGUGUUUUGGGAUUGGGGAUAUUAUCAGAUUUGGUCCCCCUGUGAAUUCAUGCGUGUUGUGCAAGGGUCCUCAUUUUAAUAUUAGUAGUUUGUUUUAUUUAUAAAUUAUCCC